CCUACGGGGUGCACCAGUGGGGAAUAUUGCACAAUGGGCGCAAGCCUGAUGCAGCCAUGCCGCGUGUAUGAAGAAGGCCUUCGGGUUGUAAAGUACUUUCAGUGGGGAGGAAGGCGAUAAGGUUAAUAACCUUGUCGAUUGACGUUACCCGCAGAAGAAGCACCGGCUAACUCCGUGCCAGCAGCCGCGGUAAUACGGAGGGUGCAAGCGUUAAUCGGAAUUACUGGGCGUAAAGCGCACGCAGGCGGUUUGUUAAGUCAGAUGUGAAAUCCCCGGGCUCAACCUGGGAACUGCAUCUGAUACUGGCAAGCUUGAGUCUCGUAGAGGGGGGUAGAAUUCCAGGUGUAGCGGUGAAAUGCGUAGAGAUCUGGAGGAAUACCGGUGGCGAAGGCGGCCCCCUGGACGAAGACUGACGCUCAGGUGCGAAAGCGUGGGGAGCAAACAGGAUUAGAUACCCCGGUAGUC
RNAcentral lists this ribosomal RNA (465 nucleotides) under uncultured bacterium. RNAcentral's name for it is "bacterial SSU rRNA". It matches the Rfam family "Bacterial small subunit ribosomal RNA", at positions 338 to 795 of the family's 1533-position model. The record is from RNAcentral.